GUGAGGAAUAUUGGUCAAUGGACGGAAGUCUGAACCAGCCAAGUAGCGUGCAGGAUGACGGCCCUAUGGGUUGUAAACUGCUUUUAUGCGGGGGUAAAGUGAGUGACGUGUCAUUCAUUGCAAGUACCGCAAGAAUAAGGACCGGCUAAUUCCGUGCCAGCAGCCGCGGUAAUACGGAAGGUCCUGGUGUUAUCCGGAUUUAUUGGGUUUAAAGGGAGCGUAGGCCGUCAGGCAAGCGUGUUGUGAAAUGUCGUGGCUCAACCAUGGACUUGCAGCGCGAACUGCCCGACUUGAGUGCGCGGAAAGCAGGCGGAAUUUGUGGUGUAGCGGUGAAAUGCUUAGAUAUCACGAAGAACCCCGAUUGCGAAGGCAGCCUGCUGUAGCGCUACUGACGCUGAAGCUCGAAAGUGCGGGAAUCAAACAGGAUUAGAUACCCGGGUAGUCC
This 445-nucleotide ribosomal RNA is filed under the name uncultured bacterium. RNAcentral's name for it is "partial 16S ribosomal RNA". It matches the Rfam family "Bacterial small subunit ribosomal RNA", at positions 354 to 796 of the family's 1533-position model. The record is from RNAcentral.